ACUGCAGCCUCAACCUCCCAGGCUCAAGCCAUCCUCCUGCCUCAGCCUCCUGAGUAGGUGGGACCACAGGUGUGUGACACCAUGCCUGGCUAAUUUUUAAAUUUUUUGUAGAGACAGGGUCCCAUUAUGUUGCCUGAGCUGGUCUCAAACUCCUGGCCUCAAGCGAUCCUCCCACCUCAGCCUCCCAAAGUGCUGGGAUUACAGGCGUGAGCCACUGUGCCCCAGUGUGUCUUCAUAUAUUUGACGUCCCACUGUGGUUUUCACAGCAGUGUGUGCUCAGUGGAGUUUUGCAGGUUGAUUCCUACAGGACCGUGACCUAGAGUCUUCCAUCCUUUCCAGAUAGAGAGGUGUCCAGCAUCCGGAUGGGGUCAUGAGCAGGGAAGAUAGUUGUGGAGCUCGUCAGUUGUGGGGCUCAUCUUUGCUUUAGCAUGAAUCCAUGAUGUUGACAUUGGAGCUUGCUUUGGAACCUGUGUUCUGAGAAGGCAGAACAUCCUAGACACUAAGGCUGCCUCCUUCAUCUGGGAUAAGACCGCAUCAGGAAGCCUCAUCACCUCAUGAGAGCCGAUUCGGAUCAGCCUCCUCUGCUCAUCUCUCCCGCUGCCCCCAUCAGAAAAUCCAUAACCACAACCUUUCCCAGCCUUUAAGCUGCCUCUGGAGAGUCAGGGAAGCCAACGGCAUCAUUGUUCACGCGGCAACUGUGCUGCACCUCGUUGUGCAGAAGCUUGGUGGGCGUCCGUGACUUCAGGAGCCCGUGAGAAGGGGAAGCCGUCGGUAUUGUGCCUCAUGCCAAAGAACCGGACUACCCACCAGGGACAGUUACUUGUCUUUUACAAUACCCAGGAAGUGCCCUUCAUCACAGAUGCUGAAGUUUGACUGUGGCCUUAUGCGGUACAUUGUGCUGACAUAUUUUCUCAUGGGAACUGUUGGGCUAGUUCAGGCAAGUAUCUGCAAUGCUUAAACAGACAGUUUCAGGCUGGAGAAUUUAAGAGACAACCAAAUAGAGUUUUAAUGCCCUGUAAGAUAAUAACGAAAGACAUUUAUGAAAAAAAAAAUUCCAGUUAGUUUGAAAGCCAGGGCCCGCACUCCAUAUUUUGACAGCAGAUGGAUGGCUAGCUUGACUGAUCCUGGUUUACUUUCUGACUUGAAUUUGUCCCCAGUCCAGUGAAAUCAUAAGGGCUCCCUUCAAUCUGGUUAAUGUUCAGAACCAAUGUUUGAGUUUUAGACUAAUUAAGGGGCAACCACUGACAUUUUUUCUAUAAUGUGAAGACUGGUGCCAGCAGUAACUCAGUGAGAUUUAACAUAAAAGCCAGAUAAAACAAUUAAAGUGGAAGAAUAUUUGAUUAAGUGGAUCACUGAUUUAUAGUGAGGUAAAUUGAAAUUGAAAGGAGAGUGAACUUUUUAUGGCAAUCAUAUAUUACGUUCAUUAUCAGAGACUCUGGAUCCUUUGUGCUUUUGUGAUUUAAAAAGAAAUAAACCAGUUUAAGGAGAGUCAUCCUGGCAGGCAUCGUUUGUGUCUUGUCUUGAGUUAUGGUUUCUUUUCAUUGCAAAGGUUAAAUAAAUCAUAUUCAAGAAAACUCAUUGCAAAACACGCAAUCAACAUUUGAAUAGACAAAAAAGUGUAAUAGGGCCACGCAUGGCAAAAUACACACCGGCACUUUUGUUUUGGUGAGCUUGACAUACACUUCAAUCAGCAUUUAUUUGGUAUUUGCAGAAACUGUAGCUGUGGCAACAUCCCUUAAGGGGUCUUGGGUCUGUUGUCUAGAAGAGCCAUAGAUUUGGUAUCAGACCUGGGGAAAUUGUGAAACAG
This is a long non-coding RNA of Pan troglodytes (chimpanzee), 1807 nucleotides long. The record is from Ensembl. Lineage: Eukaryota; Metazoa; Chordata; Mammalia; Primates; Hominidae.